Molecule: long non-coding RNA, 3791 nt
Organism: Aethina tumida (small hive beetle)
Lineage: Eukaryota; Metazoa; Arthropoda; Insecta; Coleoptera; Nitidulidae
Exons: 6
Source: RefSeq, a predicted model, not a curated record
GGCCUUUGGCGUUACGAAAUGACGUCCGAUGUGGUUCGGGUACGCCGGCACUUAAGUGGUACCCGUUCCGUCCCGAACCAUUUCGGGACUGGUGCGUCGAUCAGAAAUCGGGGUUUGGUGCCAUUUAUUUAUUGAAUAUCGAGCCGGAUGAUUGCGAAUCGUUUCAUUAACGACACCGGUUAUUCAAUAUACUUUCAUCGCAAUUGUGAGGGUGUCACGUUGAAUAUGAACAUGACCUAGCUAAAGAUUGACAUGAUCCUCAGAAUAGUUGGUGCCCCCUCUGGUCGGAGGUGACAAAUUUUCAUUAUAACAUUCAAACUAUUUUAAUUAAACCAAAUAGUCGCCUCCUGGACUCACUCCAGAGAAAGAUGGUAGGCUAGCUAUGUCAUGGGUGUAGCUAGGAUAACACAGUGUACCAUGAUUCACCAUCACACCUGAAUUUACGGAAUUCGAUGGAAUCCCAUGUAUAAAUUAAUCGUAGUUUCCAGGGGUUUGAAAUUUAUAAAAGACAAGCCGGCAAGAUGCACAGACUUUUCCCAAGAACUUCAGAAAGAUUACUUGGAAAUGGAACACCCCAAACAAGAUCAAGCUAGUAAUUUGGAGCCGCUCCACUGAGUAUAGGACAUGUUACGAAAAUCUACUACACGACAUUAUUUCGCAUCAGUAAUUAGCAACACGUCAUGGACAAGAUGAAAAUGGCGUCAAAGAUGGAUCGUGUUCAAGUCACACAAUAAUGGAUCGUGGAUGUACGACCCAUACCUUGGACCUGCCAGAAUUUGGAAACUUUAUCAAACGUUAUACAUGGUGUAAAGGAAACACCAUUACGUUAUCUUGUUUUCAUUUUUACUUAAUUCUAAUCUUCUAAAUACAACAUAGCAUUUGCGUAUUUUAAGAAUAUGUUAAUGUUAUUCAUUAAUAAUAAAAUCACCAGGUAAUCUGAAGAUGUUAAUAUAGAUUGUCCAUUUUAUUACCAUUUUCAAUUAGUAAGUUAUAUGUAUAUUUUUAUUAAUAUAUUUUUAUUGACGUUCUGUAAGAAUAUGAUUAUUAUGUUAUUUUAUGAAGUAUAUAAAUGUUCAUACAGGUUACCUGUUUUAUUGUUAUUGUUUGACCCAGCAUCAUAAGUGCCAAUUUGUAUGAUAACAUUGAAAAGUGAAAUUAUUUAAAAUAUAAAACUACAAAAAAAGUGAACUGCAAAAUUUUUUAAUAAUCAAAUAAUUAUAACGAAAAAUAUGGUUAGAUUGGUGUUAAAUUAAAUGGCGAAAUUGAUGGUCGGUCGUAACUUAAACUUUUAACUUUUUUAGCUCCUAUGUUUAUCAUUGAAAUAUUGUUCCAUUUAAAGAAUUUUUAUGCAGAAAGAAACUAGGAUAAACUAAUUUAAAUAUGGAUUGUUUAACAAUAUUGAAGUAUAACAAAUAAAAGUAUUUCAAAAGAUAAAGAAUGAUAAUUAAAUUUUUUGUUUAUAGUUCAUAGUAAUAAAAUGUAUUUUUUGAAAACAUACAGUUUAUUAAAUUUUAAAAGUAAAGGGACAUCAUACCAAAAAAAUGUAUUUGACAAAAUAUAAUUGCUUUUAAGGUGAAUGUUAAAAUCAAUAAUGUGACGUAGAUCAGUGGCCAGAGAUGGACCGGCUCAGAUUUUUAUUAACCAAUUUGAAUUAAUAGAUUUUGAUAGUCACUCGAUAUGACAUUGCCAGUCGAAUAAAUGUUUAAUAGAUAGACAUUAUUAUCAUAACCAUAUAUUUUUAAUUUCAAUAAAUGUACUAAAUACCUGUCAAAAUAAAAAUAGUUACUCGGAUUAGAUAACGCAAUUAUUCGGGUUGACUUGAAAUGACCUUAUCUCGAGUAAAUUUAGUUUCGAACAUUGAGUUAAUCCAUCUCUGGUCGUUGCCGCCUACAUAAUUCAAAUUUCAAUACGCUCAACUAAGCGGAUGUGUCUAAGGUAAAGGUCAUGUUUCGAACCAAUUGUAAAUGAAGGGUGCCAUGUACCAGGUGUAUUAAUACUUAUGCGUAAAAUUUUACUCGUAGUGAGUAAAUUCAACAAGGCAUCUCUACCACCUUACUGUACAAUGUAAUUCCAUUCACCAUGAUCUAAAUUUGAAAGAUGUAACCGAUCAACGUAAAAGUGAUAACUUAACCUCAUGUGCCAGCUAUACAUAUAUGUAACUAGUGAAAUGUAGUUAAAUACUUCCUGUUCAUUAUUGUCACACCUUUUAUUAAACAGAUCCUAUGGUGGGCAAAGCAAUCGAUACUGCAACGUUAUUGGAUGUCCCUUUUUUUUAAUUACUGUAACCUACGUUACGCGGAGAAGGAGCUGAAGGGGAUGCUAUCCGGGCCGGCGCGCGUUCCGUUCGGUGCAGCUAUAAAUUUGCAGCUGCGGAUGCAAGUGUGUCUGUAAACAUAAAUCCAAAUCUUUUGAAAGUCGUGCGGGACGCAACAGUUCGCGCUUUGGAAAAAUCAAGCAAUUGCAGCAAAGAGCGAGUGUUUAAUUACAUUAAUAAAUUGAGUACAGGUAGUACGAAAUUUAAUUCAUUUUCUGAUAUGGAAAUGGUGGUUUAGUUAUAACGGCAAUUUGGUGAAAAAUUGGAUUUCUCGAGGGUUAGUACAUAUUAAACUUUUGUUAUACAAUUUUUGUUCCAUAUCGAUUUUUUAGAUUUUGUAGCUAGAAAAAUCCAACAAUAUUCAGCUGCACCCUGUAACAGAUUUAUAGAAUUUAAUUAAUUUCUAGGUCACAUUUAUUUAUAUAAAUUGUAUUUAUUUAUAUAAUAUUUACAAUUUUAACCUCCGUGAGGUGUUCUGAUUUUCUAAUGGGAUUUAUUGAUUUUGUAGUAACUUUAUUAGCAUAUAUCAUUUUUGUAUUAUUGCAGUUACUAUUAGUAACAUUAUGUUUAUUUUUAAUUUACUUCACCUAUUAUUUUGUUAUAGUAAUUAUGGUUAUGAUGGUUUGUGAUUAAAUUUAUCUUUCAGAUGUAGUUGUCACAAGUUAAUAUAUUUAUAUAGUUUAUUGGUUAUGUUUUAUUAGAGUAAUCAUUAUUCUUAUUUAUAUUAUAUUAUAUUAUUCUUAGAAAAUUAUUUUGAGUGGUUGUUAUAGAGUAAAGUUACUUUGCAAUAAUUGUACUAUCAAUUUAAUUUGUUUAUUAUAGGUAGUAAAUCGUAUUAUAUUAUGUUAAUACACAUUAAUAAAAAUCAAAUCAAACUCCUUCUUUAAAACCGUAGUUGAAUAUUAUAUAUCCGUAAAUGUGAAAUGAAAUAAUAAAUGUUAUAAUUAUUAGCAGAUCAAUUGAAAUAAUUAACCAACCAAGGUUUCAUACAGGAUAAUCUUAUAUCCUGAUUCUUUCAGGUGGUCACCUAAACAUUUUUCAAUAGGUUAAUUAUUUUAAUUGAUCCGGCUACAACAUUCAAUGUGAAAAUAUUAUAUAAUUAAAAUAGUUAAACAAUGAUUGCGUUGAUACUUGUUUUGUGAAUGUAUUAUAUUCUCUUUUUUUAUUAAUAACAAAUUUUUGAGCAUAUUAACAGGUUAUUAAUUGCAAUCUAAUUUAUGUACAUCUUGUAUACUUGUAUAUUUAUUAAAUUUAAUUUAGUACCUUUCACAUAUUUAUACAUAUAUUUUGUGUUGUUUCUAAAUAUGUAAUAAUAAUGCAAUAGAAAUGGUUUAAAUGAGUGUAUACGACAAAUAUAAAUAAGUUUUUCUAUUUUAACUGUCGUGAACCGUUUAUUUAUGUUGGAUCUCGUAGUUAUUUUUCCAAAUAAAUAAUUUGUUUUUUAUACACAGUGUUUAACUUCAUAUUACAUGUAUUA